Molecule: transfer RNA, 65 nt
Filed under: Dipodomys ordii (Ord's kangaroo rat)
Lineage: Eukaryota; Metazoa; Chordata; Mammalia; Rodentia; Heteromyidae
Rfam family: tRNA
About the family: Transfer RNA (tRNA) molecules are approximately 80 nucleotides in length.
Source: Rfam by way of RNAcentral
GGUGGCUCAGUGGUAGAGCGUUUGCCUCACAGGCAUUAGGCCUUAGGUUUGAUUCCUCAGCACCA